This is a long non-coding RNA of Manis pentadactyla (Chinese pangolin), 4178 nucleotides long. RefSeq lists it as uncharacterized. The transcript has 3 exons. NCBI's taxonomy places the organism in Eukaryota, Metazoa, Chordata, Mammalia, Pholidota, Manidae. The record is from RefSeq and is a predicted model, not a curated record.
GGGGGAACAGAUGGUGGGUAAGGGCUAGUUCUAGCAAGCUUUGGUUUGUGGGUUCCUCUGGUGCCACCUCCAGGCUGAGAAGGGUCUAGAGUUGUAACUUCUGUCCUUUGGAUAGAAGAGGGACGGGGACGUGCGAAUUUACAUCUUGCUUUUAGGCAAAUAGGAGGAGGGCAGAGAGCUUUUCUUAUAUCUGCUUCUUCUCAGUUGCCUUCAGCUCAAAAUAAUCCUUAUGCCAAAGUAGCAUAUUUGGGGGUAGCACAUUCUGCUAUCCUUUAACAGCUUUGGUCUAUUAAAUCAUUAAAUAUUAUUCUUAUAGACCAGAUUAUGGAGAAUCUCAAAAGACUUAUUUUUUAGAUAUAACUCACAUAUCAUAAAAUCAAACCCUUUAAAAGUAUAUAACUCAAUAGUUUUUAGUAUAUUCACAAAGUUAAGCAACCAUCACCACAAAUUCCAAAACAUUUCAUCAAAAAGAAACCCUAGACUCUAUAGCAGUCACUCCUCACCUGCCCCUCCCCCGAGCCCCAAUGCUACUGUGCUUUCUGUCUCUGGAUUUGCCUAUUCUGGAAAUUUCAUAUAAAGGAAAUCCAUAAUAUAUGCUUAUUGUGUCUGACUUCUUUCACUUAGCAUAAUGUUUUUAAGUUUAUUAGGUUAUAGCAUUAGGUGUACUCCAUCACUUUUUAUGGCUGAGUUAUGUUCCACUGUGUAGACAUGCCUCAGAAGACUUGAGAGGAAGGCAUUCAUUCUAUGAGGGGAGCAAGGGCCUUAGGGCCCAGGCUCAGUGUGAGAAGCACUGUGCCUCCUCUGGCAACGGACUGCCUGGGCUCUCACCUUGGCUGUGUAACCUGGGCAGAUCACUUUCUUUGUGCUUCAUUUUCCUCUCAUAAAGAAGAUAGUAGUAACUCUUGUAGUGUUGAAUUAAAUGAGCUAAUAUAUUGAAAGGGCCUUGAAAAGUGCCUGGUGUUAAGGUCCAGUUGUUUCUAUGGAGACAAAAAGACUGACAGAUGCAAAACUAACCACUGACUACUUAACACACUGCCCUUUAUUCUAGAAGCUUCCAAAUGGCUACAUGGCUACUUUAUAAAACUGGAAAUUAAAACAGGUCUGACUAUAAGAGGGAAUGAAUUGAAGAUAGCAGUCUCUGUAACUUUCCUAGGUGAAAGGGAACAGAAUACAUGACCCAAAAUGUGCUACUUUGGCAUAUGGAUUAUUUUGAGCUGAAGGCAAUCAAGACUCAGCAUACUCAAGAAAAAGUUUUCUCUCUCCCUUAACUGCCUAAAAGAAUUCAGAUAGGAGGACUGGCUCAGAAGGACUAUUACCAGAUACAGCUUUUAUCUGGAAAUCUUACCUGCAUGGCAGGGCAGACCUCUGAUUACCAUAAAUCUGCUCUUCUCCACUUCCUGUGAAUCACCCUCCUCUGCCUUGAAUCCCCAGCCCCUAUCCCAUCCCUUAGCUGAGGAUGGCAUAUAAGCCUCAACUACUUGAGUGCCUUAAAGUCACAUGUUUUGAUGGGGCUCCCAAAUGUAUGAAAUUAAAUUUGUUUUUCUCCUGUUAAUCUGGCUUAUAUCAAUUUAACUAUUAGAUCAGCUGAAGAACCCAGAAGGGAGGAGGAAAAUUUUCCGCCCUGACAGUUGGGUAACCUGUGAGGGUACCUCCACUGGCUAGAUGUUGCUCACUCAGGGCUGCUGCUGCUGAGAGACCUGGGGCCUCUGACGAGGGGCGGCAGAAGUUGCACAGCGCCACAAACAAUGAUCAGGACUCGUUUGCCUCCUCCUUGAAGAGAAGAGAUUACUACACAUCCUACCCCUCAGUCCGUCCAGAGGAGCAGCGUGUUUGGGAAAACUGGCCUGGAGGCUACGGGGUGAGCCAGGCCCAAAGAACCGGAACACUAGAACAGAAGGAAUUCGGCCUUUACUGAACGGGGACCGUGCCAUACUCAGCCUCUCCUUCCAGAGACCGUCACUCUCCACCUUCAAGAUUCCUUUCAGUUUAUACAAUAGUCCCCCCUUAUUUGCAGGGGAUUCUUUCAGAGACCCCCACUGGAGGCCUGAAACCAUGGGUAAUACUGAACUCUAUAUAUAUUGUUUUUUCCUAUACAUACAUACCUAUGAUAAAGUUUAUAAAUUAAGUGAUUGACAAGAAUGACUAAAUAAAACAGAGCAAUUAUAAUAAUACACCGUAGUAAGUUACAUGAAUGUGGUCUUUCGCUCUCUCAAAAUACCUUACUGUACCGUACUCACCCUUCUUUUACUGCUAAUGGGAGAUGAUAAAAUACCUACGUGAUGAGAGUGACAGCACACACUGUGACGUAGCAGUGGGCCACCACUGACCUGAGGAUAUGUCAGAAGGCGGAUCAUCUGCUUCCAGACCAAGGCUAACCGUGGGUACCAGACCUUGGAAGGUGAAAGCUGAUAAGGGGGUACUCCUAUACUUCAGUACCUGAUGUGUUCUUCAAUGUCCAAGACAGAAACAGCCAAAAAAGUCUACUAGAUUUAAUAUUCUUAAUGAAAAUUUUCUAUAUGUCAAAAACCACAAACAAAUGUAAAGGCAAACAAUAAACUUGGAAAAUAUUAUUUUUUAGACAAAUAUAGCAACAGAGGCAAAUAUCCUUAAUAUCAAAGGGCUUUUUAUAAAGUAUAGGGCACCAACGAGCGAGAGGGAGGGUAUGAACAGGUGGAUUAAUCAAAACAAUGAAACAAACGGUUAAUAAGAAAAUUUUCCACCUCCUUAACCCUCAAAGCAAGGUAAAAUAAAACCAUUGGAGAUAACAUUUUCCCUUAUUACCUCUCAGACUAGCAUAUGAAUACCCACUGUUGGGCAGGGGUGUCUCAUUUACUUCUAGGAAUGCAUAAUCCAAAAUUACCAAUACAUUUUGACCUGUCAAUUUCACCUCUAAAAGAUAUCUGGAAGCAAUCUUAAAGGUUUCCACAAUGUAGAGUUCCAAAAACACAUUUAUAAUUUUUCCCUCUCUUUCUUGAUUGUAUACCCAAUAAUCCUGAGCCUAUUUGUUGUAUUUAUUUAAAUUCUCAACACAUUACACCAGAACACUAUUUUGUAUUUUAGUACCUUAAUCCAAAAUGCAGUUGCUAAUGUUCUGAGCCCAGUGACUCUAAGGGUUAACUCCACCCUCCCUAGCCCUGCGACCUAUGGAAAGGUUUUUUGCUCGCAGGUGGGUGGGUUGAGUGAGGCUGGUGAGGUGGGCAGGACACUGUGUGGGAGAAGUUAGCAGAUGAGCAGUAGGAGGCUCUAGCAAGGUAGUUUGUAGGUUGGGUUACAGGCAACAGGAGCUGUUGUGUCUGGGGUGAGAAGCCCUAUAUAGGAGGAGAUGGGGUAACAGACUGCACCAAAAUCCCCAGCUCUGUCCUGCAUCACCCACCCUGCUGUGGCGCUGGGCCAUCCCAGGCCUUCCUAAGGUGAAGGCCUUUGGUGACUUGGAGGAUAUCCUGUUACAGAAAAGUUGCCACAUCACCUGAACUUCCCCUGAAGUUCACUGAGUUUGCACUUUCUUCCACUGCCCUCCUCAAGUUCCCUGACGUGGCCCAGGGCUCUUGGGUGAGCCUCUCCCCAGCAGGACAGCUUCAUCCUAGGGGGGCCAUGAAGCAGAUUGAUCCUGGCCACGCAUCCCAACGGCCGUUUCCAUCACCCGUAACUCAGAACCUUUCCUGCAAUACGGCUGCACUGGGAUCUGUCCUUGUGCCCAAGCGCAGUCCUCAGCUGUCAGUUCCUCUCCAGCAGGGGCCUCACUCACCUACUCACCUCACUCACCUUGCCACCUUCAAGACCUGUCACCGCUGCCCUUUACUACCUCGGCUCUCCCCUUGAGGUGCCCCUUUACCUGGCCACAUCCCAACCAGCCCAUCAUCAGUGAGUCCUACACCAACCUGACCCUUCUCUGAACAACUAGCACGUACUGUCUGUGAUGUCCAUAGGAUCUGACAUAUUUAAGUAUUUUUAAUGUCCAAAUAAUGUAGGAAUAGUUUGUAUUGUAAAACUAUUCAGGUGAUCUUGAUGGUGUGAAGUCGCUUGAUCUUCCUGUCUUCCACUCCCACACCUGGUAACUCUGGGGCAGCUGGGGUGUCAGGCCCUUGUCCAUGUAUUUCCCACCUGGAUUCCAGAUAUGAAAAGGAAAGAACCAUCUUUCGUCCCACCCAACACUGCUCCUGCCUGCGCCUGUUCUAGGC